This is a long non-coding RNA of Engraulis encrasicolus (European anchovy), 888 nucleotides long. RefSeq lists it as uncharacterized. NCBI's taxonomy places the organism in Eukaryota, Metazoa, Chordata, Actinopteri, Clupeiformes, Engraulidae. The record is from RefSeq and is a predicted model, not a curated record. The transcript has 10 exons.
UGCGCAGAUUGCAGUUGUAGUUUGAGGGCACGCAUGCUUGAGAAAGAAACACGCUCCUCAUGGACGCUCAUUCAAAGUUAUCUGGAUGCAUUCAUGUCAAUUUUAUGUUAUUUGCGUCAUCAAUGGUCACUGUCCCUCAAAUGAAGACGAGAUGAGUUGCUGUGGCUGAUCUUUGAAUCCUGGAAGUGAGAUGGAGAAGAAUUAGAAAGUAAAAGACAGCUGUAGGCACUGAUGAAAGAAAGGCAGGUUCAGUGGGGUGACUGGUGUCACCAUAAGGUUGACCAGUAGCUGGUGACGACUGAAUGUGGCUGUCAUGGAAUCCCAGGCCUUCACGGAACGUUGGGUGUCCAGUAGCUGGUGACGACUGAAUGUGGCUGUCAUGGAAUCCCAGGCCUUCACAGCACAUUGCGUGUGAAGUUGGUGUGGAGCAGUGUGACCGUCAUGACAUCACCCUUCCUUGAAGGGACAUGGUGUUGACCAGUAGCUGGUGACGACUGAAUGUGGCUGUCAUGGAAUCCCAGGCCUUCACAGAACAUUGGGUGUCCAGUAGUUGGUGACGACUGAAUGUGGCUGUCAUGGAAUCACCAGGCCUUCACGGAACAUUGGUUGACCAGUAGCUGGUGACGACUGAAUGUGGCUGUCAUGGAAUCACCAGGCCUUCACAGAACAUUGUUGGCGAUGACCAGAGUGCAGUUGUGGACGUGCCGCCAUCAUGGAAGCAACAGGUCUUCAUGGAACAUUUGUAAUUAUUUUGGUAUGCAAGCUAAAAUAUGCAUACAUAUACAAAAUACACAUGAAAUACUGAAAUAUAUCUGGAAAAAUAAUUAAAAAUAUAGAUAUCGGUUUGUAUUUUUUGUUUGUGUGUAUUAAAAUAGUGAGUCUUUCUUC